AACGCGAAGAACCUUACCUGGGCUCGAAAUGUAGAGGACGUAUCCUGAAAGGGAUAUUCUCGAAAGGGUCUCUAUAUAGGUGCUGCAUGGCUGUCGUCAGCUCGUGCCGUGAGGUGUUUGGUUAAGUCCAGCAACGAGCGCAACCCUUAUCGUUAGUUGCCAGCGCGUAAUGGCGGGAACUCUAACGAGACUGCCUGGGUUAACCAGGAGGAAGGUGAGGAUGACGUCAAGUCCGCAUGGCCUUUAUGUCCAGGGCUACACACGUGCUACAAUGGUCGGUACAGAAGGCUGCGAAACCGCAAGGUGAAGCAAAUCCCCAAAGCCGAUCUCAGUUCAGAUUGCGGUCUGCAACUCGACCGCAUGAAGUUGGAAUUGCUAGUAAUGGCGUGUCAGCAACAGCGCCGUGAAUACGUUCCCGGGCCUUGUACACACCGCGCAUA
Molecule: ribosomal RNA, 440 nt
Filed under: uncultured bacterium
Lineage: Bacteria
Description: bacterial SSU rRNA
Rfam family: Bacterial small subunit ribosomal RNA
Source: RNAcentral